GGGGCUGUAGUUCAGUGGUAGAGCGCUUGCCUGGCACGUGUGAAGCACUGGAUUCAAUCCUCAGCACCA
Molecule: transfer RNA, 69 nt
Filed under: Ictidomys tridecemlineatus (thirteen-lined ground squirrel)
Lineage: Eukaryota; Metazoa; Chordata; Mammalia; Rodentia; Sciuridae
Description: Spermophilus tridecemlineatus (thirteen-lined ground squirrel) tRNA
Rfam family: tRNA
About the family: Transfer RNA (tRNA) molecules are approximately 80 nucleotides in length. Their secondary structure includes four short double-helical elements and three loops (D, anti-codon, and T loops). Further hydrogen bonds mediate the characteristic L-shaped molecular structure. tRNAs have two regions of fundamental functional importance: the anti-codon, which is responsible for specific mRNA codon recognition, and the 3' end, to which the tRNAs corresponding amino acid is attached (by aminoacyl-tRNA synthetases). tRNAs cope with the degeneracy of the genetic code in two manners: having more than one tRNA (with a specific anti-codon) for a particular amino acid; and 'wobble' base-pairing, i.e. permitting non-standard base-pairing at the 3rd anti-codon position.
Source: Rfam by way of RNAcentral